UUCCGGUUGAUCCUGCCGGACCCGACUGCUAUCGGAGCGGGACUAAGCCAUGCGAGUCGUACGUCCCUUGACUGCAAGGGGCGUGGCAAACGGCUCAGUAACACGUAGCUAACCUACCCUAGGGACGCGGAUAACCCCGGGAAACUGGGAUUAAUCCACGAUAGAUCAAAGCUUCUGGAAAUGGGCUUUGAUCGAAAAGGGGUGGGCAAGCAUGUUUUGCCCAUCUGCUCUAGGAUGGGGCUGCGGCCGAUCAGGUUGUUGGUGGGGUAAUGGCCCACCAAGCCUAUAACCGGUACGGGCUUUGAGAGAAGGAGCCCGGAGAUGGACACUGAGACAAGGGUCCAGGCCCUACGGGGCGCAGCAGGCGCGAAACCUUCGCAAUGCGCGAAAGCGCGACGAGGUCACUCCGCGUGCCACUCGCUGAGGGUGGCUUUUCCUAAGUCUAAAAAGCUUAGGGAAUAAAGGGAGGGUAAGUCUGGUGUCAGCCGCCGCGGUAAUACCAGCUCCCCGAGUGGUCGGGACGUUUAUUGGGCCUAAAGCAUCCGUAGCCGGUCCUGCAGGUCUCCUGUUAAAUCCAACAGCCCAACUGUUGGACUGCAGGAGAUACCACAGGACUAGGAGGCGGGAGAGGCGGACGGUACUCCAUGGGUAGGGGUAAAAUCCUUUGAUCCAUGGAAGACCACCAGUGGCGAAAGCGGUCCGCCAGAACGCGCUCGACGGUGAGGGAUGAAAGCUGGGGGAGCGAACCGGAUUAGAUACCCGGGUAGUCCCAGCUGUAAACGAUGCGAGCUAGGUGAUGGGGUGGCUGCGUGCCAUCCCAGUGCCGC
This 827-nucleotide ribosomal RNA is filed under the name uncultured archaeon. RNAcentral describes it as "bacterial SSU rRNA". It matches the Rfam family "Archaeal small subunit ribosomal RNA", at positions 1 to 804 of the family's 1478-position model. The record is from RNAcentral.